RNAcentral lists this long non-coding RNA (414 nucleotides) under Mytilus galloprovincialis (Mediterranean mussel). Lineage: Eukaryota; Metazoa; Mollusca; Bivalvia; Mytilida; Mytilidae. The record is from RNAcentral.
CUCCUUUUAUUCAAAAUAUUGAUACGUAACAAAAUGUCAGUAGAUUUGAUACCUCAUGCUGACUUUAUCAACAAAAUUAUUUGACUGCAUCGACCAAAAACUGACCUGCAUAUGUGCACUUUAAUUUAAAAAUCUAUAUAUGUCCGCAUAGUAAAUCAGCCAUAUUUUUGAUGUCUGGAUUCAAUGUAUAAAAUAAAUGACUGCUGUUGGGAUGGCGCCUAAUUAUGUCUUCUCCUGGCACUCCUGUGAACAUGUUAGUAGGACGGCAAAUGUAAGCAAUAAGGAAAACAAUUAAUGCAAUUUUUUUCCCGCAUACAUUGAGAAUGUCAGCGUUUCAUCUCUGUAUUCAUAAUAUUGAACAGUCACUAGGGUGUGUAAAACGAAUCUAUUAGGCCGCAUCAUCCAAGUACAUGU